This is a long non-coding RNA of Dermochelys coriacea (leatherback sea turtle), 4068 nucleotides long. RefSeq lists it as uncharacterized. Lineage: Eukaryota; Metazoa; Chordata; Testudines; Dermochelyidae. The record is from RefSeq and is a predicted model, not a curated record. The transcript is spliced from 2 exons.
AGCUUCACAACAUCACUGUGAGAUGAGUAAAUAUCACUAUCCACCUCAUGUAGUGGAGGAAAUUGAGGAAUGGAGUAGACUAUUUAUGUCCAAAAGACCAACAUAUAAGCAUCCUAUGAUGAAAUCAGCACACAUUAACAUCACAAACGAAGGCCAAGUAGGCAGGCCACCAACAAGAACCAAAACAUCAACCACAAGUCUAAUAAACCUCUUGCAACCUUCCUAAUGACAAAAGUGGAAACUAUUCCCGGUUAACGUAAGGACUAGGAAAGGAAUGGGAUUAAUACAUGGGGGGGGGAAAUCGGUGGGGGGAGGAAGGAAAAACACACAGGUAAUCAAAAGUCAAAUAGGGAUGAACCUGAAAUAGUACAUAGGGCACUAUGCAAAGCCUAACAUCAACCCUAAACUGAGAAAGCGCUGUUGUAGAUUUGCUCCUAAGAACCAAAAGCCAGUCCCACCUAACUGACUGUAACUUCAGGGCAGAGACAUAGAACAAGAGACAUUACUCAAUUACUGAGUGCCUAGAUUAUGAAAGGCUGAUUAAAGCAGUACCAGAAUUGCAAAUUAAGUGACUAGAGGCAUAAGGAAUACAGCUCCCAGUGAAGUCACAGCAGGAGCAAAUGUGGUUCACUUGUAAGGUUCACUUGAAAGCAACUCUCUUCCUGGGAGCAGUCAGUGUAGGUAGAUUGACAUCACCUCACUUUUCUUAAUCAAAGGAAUAGAACAUCAGCAUGACAGCUUUCACAACAAUGCAAAAAUAGACACAGAGCUUAAACUACCUUUCCCCAUUUGAGUUCAGUGGAAAGAUUCCCAUUGACUUUGGAUCAGACACAAACACAAGAGGGCAUUGCUUGGUCCCAAUGACAAGAAAUUAACUCUAGCUCACCUUGUAUAGGUGUCCAAGGAAGAUCUUAAACAGUGGCUUCUUGGGAACCAGAAGGGAGAGAAUGCCUUGUGAAUGCUGGACUCCACAGCUGGAGGUUACAGGAUCAAGCUGAACUCCAGGAAAGGGCACUUUUCUGUUUACUCUGAUUAGAUUAAUCUAAUUAACUUCAAGUACUGAAGCUCAUGCUGUAAAUCAGUGGCAAAACUGGGACUAGAAUACAGUCCUGGCUCUCAAUUCCAUUUUUUAUCCUUCUUCAUGUCAACUAAGUGCUCUCACUACUAGCCCCUAUCUCUUCCUUAUCCUUCAACUUAGAUAGUGAUAGCCACUUGCUGACCCUAGGUUUUGUAAAUCUAACAGGAUGAUCAUCCUCAAACAAUUAGAAAUUGCUAGUGAUACCUGAUUCACUUGAUCUCCGAGGGGUAUUUCAUUCAUUUGAAUAGUUCAUACUUAUGAAGGUCAUUUAUUAAUAUAAAACUCCCCAGAUACAUUUUACAUGGCUCAGUUUGUUCUCCAGAAAAGAUCAGAAGAGGCUUUUCAGAAUAAUGUGGAAUUCUUGUGUGACCUGCUUAGGGUACAAUAACUUGAGGUCAUUAUACAACUAGAAAUUCAGCUCAUUGAGUUGCUGACAGUACAGCAAUGAGGGAGGCUACAGGAGGAUAAACUGAGUUAUGACUAGAAGAGAGUCAUGGAUAACUUGACAUGGGGAGAUGGAACCUACUUGGCUCUGACCAGGUCAGUGUUAAACAAAACUGAAAUGUUAUUUAUAAAUAGACUCUGGAUUGAAUUCUGUACUGUCACUUUAACACAGUGGAAUCUGAACCAGUGUCUCCAUUUGCAGUUGAGAACAACAGGUGGUCAAUCUAAAACUUGCAACUUCCUAAUAAUGGGCCAAAUUCUUCCUUCUCUAGGAAGAAACUAUACAGGAGAGGAAACUAUACAAGGUCAACUACCUGCAUUUAUUCCAGAGGUGGGCAAACUAUGGCCCAUGGGACUGUCCUGCCUGGCCCUUGAGCUCCUGGCUGGGGAGGCUAGCCCCGGGACCCUCCCCUGCUAUCCCCCCUUCUCUCACAGCCUCAGCUCUCUGUCCCGCCAGCGCUUUGGGCAACAGGGCUGUGAGCUCCUGCCGGGAAGCGCGACAGUGUGGCUGGCUCCAGUCGGGAGCUCAACUGUGUGGUGAUGACCUCCCUUUGGCAUGAGGAAAUGGAAAAUGGCACUGGGACUUAAGUGAGUUUGUUCUCUGCAUCGUAAGAUAGUUUAAGGUUUCUAUUUUGCAGUGUUGAUGUGAAACCUGCAAUAUUGAUGUUUUUUCCUUAGGUUAAGAAAAAUGAGGUAAUCUCAGUGCAGCUAAACUGGUUGCUCCCAGGAAAAGAGAGCUAAGAGUGACACCUGUAAUUAGCAAUCAUGAGCCACACCUGCCCCUGCUAUAAGCAGGCAUAGCUUCCAUUGAUUUCACUGGGAGCUGUGAUCCUUAUUCCAGAGAUGAAUUUGGUCUAGUCUCCAUAGUGUAGCAGUUUGAAAAUUCACGGAGUAUGAGAUGUUACAAGAAUGUUCCUUAUUUGGUGCCUUAUAUUUUAGAGUGAAGCUCACUUGUCCCUUUUUAUAAGGGAUGUCCUUUGAUGCCUAACAUUUAGCAUCAAGAAUCGGAUCAAUUAGUGUAGAUUGGUAUAGCUCCAUUGGCUUCUACAUAUUUUCUGUAUUUCAACAACAAUCAUGCAAAGGAUCACAUAAUGAUACAAAUAUAUGAUUUUCUGCAAUGGAUAAAACAUUGUGUGGGGCUGCCUCUUUACAAUUAAGCUUUGUCUCAUGUCCUUUUUCCAUCUGUUUUUUAUUUCUUUGCGAGGUAAGAAGCUACUGUAGCAAAGAGAGGUAAUGGAGCCAAGAAUGAAUCAAGAAUGGCCUCAUGCUUGCUUUUUAAAAGGGCACAAACCCCUAAUAAAGCUGGAAAAUUCAGGAAGUCAGCGUAACUCAGUGGCAAGAAACUUUCCAUAUUUAUUCUACUGAGUUAUGGCUAUUUACAUUAGCUGUGAGACCCAGGAAGAGGCAAUCUGGGGCCCCUUAUUUUAAUGUUGGAAAUAAUUUUUUCCUCCAAAAAUGGGGAAUUGAGAAUAUGGCUAUGGGAUAAUUUUGCAUGGGAAUUGGAUCAGAUGGCUUAUAAACUAAAUUCUGCUUGUUACGCUGAUGUUCAGUACCUGGGUAUUGAAGUCUGUGGGAGAACGCGUUGGGGUAAUUAUAACUGGCUUCACUGUGGCUGCACAUGGAUGAGGGCAGAAUUUGGCCCAUAGCCUUUUGGAGAUUCGUGUGAUUUUAGGGGAAGUCCCAUCAGAAGCGUUUAAAGGAGCUACAAAGGUUUCCAUUCUGGCUGUUCACCCAGGAAAGGGUCUCUAACAGCUGUUUAUCCUACUGUUGACAACAUAUUUGAACUGAAGAAUUAGAUAAUUGGUGAUAUAGGUCAGUGAUUCUCGACCAGGGGUCUGGGACCCCCUGGGGGAGCAUGAGCAGGUUUCAAGGGGUCUGCCAAGCAGGGCCGGCAUUAGGUUUGCUGGAGCCUGGGGCAGAAAGACAAAGCCCCACCACAAGGGGCUGAAGCCCGGGGCCCCGAGCCCUGCCACCUAAGGAUGAAGCUGAAGCCUGAGCAACUUAGCUUUGUGGGGCCCCAGGCAGUUGUCCUGCUUGCCACCCCCUAAUGCUGGUCUUGGCUUUUAUAUGCAGAAUAACAGUUGUUGUGGCACAAGUGGAGUUUUAUACCAUGUUGGGGGGGGCCUCAGAAAGAAAAAGGUUGAGAACCCCUAAUAUAGGUGACUAUGUUGAGAGUACCCAGAGCUCUCUUUAUUUAAUGGAAUACAAGAAGUGAUUGCACGAGAAAUUACCUACUUCAGCUAGAUCUACAUUCUGGGAUGGUGCCAAGGUUACUUAGCAUCUGUUGAGAUCAAGGACAAUGCAUUGCUGCCCAAGUAGCUUAUGUAUAUAAUCACAGACUGAUUGUCUAAGUGCAGUGGUAUUCUUUGAUCAGAUAUCUGGAAGGAUUAGAUAGGGUCUUUCUGGAGGUCUAGCUUUGUAACCGAUAAUUCUAAAAUACUUUUAGUUAUUUCUGGUCAGGGGAGGGGGCAGUGCUUCUCCCUGCUAUGCAAAAGAACUCCAGCAUGCCUGUAAAAUGCCAGCAGUGAUAAAUACUGCAAAUGAAG